Long non-coding RNA from Canis lupus familiaris (dog), 2045 nucleotides. RefSeq lists it as uncharacterized. The transcript is spliced from 4 exons. Lineage: Eukaryota; Metazoa; Chordata; Mammalia; Carnivora; Canidae. The record is from RefSeq and is a predicted model, not a curated record.
GCCCCGGGCCGCGAGCGCCCGGCCCUCCCCUUCUCCCCCGAAGGUGCGCGGGCGGCCGUCACCGCGCGUUCUCGUCAGAGCGGGCCUGAGGGGCGCUGCGGGCUUCCGUCGCUCGGGGGGCGACGGCCCCCUGAGCCCUUCCGUGGGUGUGCGUGUAGGAUGCGGACCCAGCGCCAACCUUGCGUCCACGCGCCCGUGCAAAACCCGCGCCCAUAGCACCUGAAUGGUCUUUGACCUUAACUUCUGGAUCUGCUGUGCAGAGCGGUACAGAAAUUUCCGACGGGUACCAGGUCCUUAAUCCCAAACCGACCCCAAAUUAGAAAAAAACAUAAUAUGCCGAGCAAGAGAAUAGCCAACGGGUUGUCCUGAAAUUCAUAAACAACUUAAAGAUAUUUUCUGCCCAACCUGAUACAAUAAGAGAUAUAGCACUUUCAAGGCUAUGUAGUGGAACAGCUCUGGAAAAAGACAGCCAUGGAUUCAAAUCAUGAGUAACUACAAGAUGACUGAAGUUGCUGUGGAAAGUGAACUAUGAGAUCAAUCAGGAAGCUACUGCAGCAGUUUGACGAAAGAAGAGAAAUCUGGCAGUGGAGAUGGUGAGAGCUUAGACUGUCAAAAGAACCAACAUGCUGAUGGAUUGGACAUGGGAUGGGAAGAUGGAGGCCUAACAAGGUUGGAUAACUUGUUCAUGUCACAUAACUACCAAAUGUUAAGAGGAUUCAAACAAAGGUGGCUAUUUCCAUUGUACCACCAGACAGAGAAGUCUUCUAGUUACCUAUUUUCAAUCUACACAAGUUAUUUUCAAAUUGGAAUGUGGUUUGAUUUUGAUUAUUGAAAUGACUUUAGAUUUUCAAUGACCACAAAUCCAAAAUAAUACUACUAUCUAGUAAUAAUACAGUCUCCUCUCAAUUUUUCUUAUGCCACACUCACCUUGCCCCCUAUCCGGACCUGAGCCUGAAGUUUGGCUAACUUUUCUUGAUUCAUGCUGUUGGUAAAUCUAGGGGGGGAAAAAUAGAUUUGUUAAAGUCACUGUUUUACCAAAAUAAAAUAACUGUUUAUGCAACAGUACCUUCUGGUUCACUAGGCUUGCAAUAUGCAUCACCACCAUGAUAUUAAUACUCUCUCUAUAUUCUUAAUAAAUAUUAAUAACUUGUUCUGGCUUCAUAAACCAGAUAUUAAAAGAACCAAAAUUAAAUAGGACCACCAAGGUGUCUAAUAUACAAACAGAAAAUAGAAAGGGAUCCAAGUUACCUAUUUGAAGAUCCUUCCUUAAAAAAAAAUUCAAUUCUUUAGCAUUCAGCAAAACCUACCCAGUUAUAAAAUCUCUAGACAAAGCCAGUUUUCUUACCCCAGAGAUUUUUACAGCAGACAGCAUUUACCAAAUGUUAUUAGCACAACCUUUAAGUAGACUUUUUCUCCCAAAUCAUAAAUGAACCAUAAAUAACUUUGUAACCAUAAACAGAAACCACCCACCAAAAGCCAAAGAAAAAAUUCAACAAAGGCUCUCUAGCUGUCAAGAUAUGAGGUAGCAUAUCUUCAAGGUCAGAUGGUAAUGUUAAUAACAGGAAAAGAGAGCCAGAUUUUCAGACAUUCAGCAGUUUAGCAACCCUUUCCACAGAGUUCAUUCAGUACCUUGCACUGAUAUAGUAUGUCACACUUGUCAAGAUAUUCUUGCAUACAUGGUAAAAUGCCUCCUUGCACAAUUUGAUAAAAACAUCUCUACUACUUUACUUUUAAAUUUUUGUGUGUCUUUAGGGGCAAGGAUAUUCUUUUUUUUGGGGGGGGCAAGGAUAUUCUUAAAAAUUAACUUUUUUAAGGCUAAUUUUGAUUUUGGAAAUUCAAAGAAAAUUGUAAAAUCAUAAAUCCUAAUCUGGUGAUAUUCCUAUUAAAGAAAAAAGGUUCUUAAGUUUAUAAUGGGUUGUAACAUUCCACACUAUUUGUUUAUACAAAUAAAAGCCAAGGUUAAAAGCCUUGUUUUACUUGUUCUGUGGACCAACAGAUCGUUAGUAAGAUGUGAAAGAGGAAAUAAAGGCUGUUAUCAAACCUUU